This is a long non-coding RNA of Nerophis ophidion (straightnose pipefish), 4896 nucleotides long. RefSeq lists it as uncharacterized. The record is from RefSeq and is a predicted model, not a curated record. The transcript is spliced from 3 exons. Lineage: Eukaryota; Metazoa; Chordata; Actinopteri; Syngnathiformes; Syngnathidae.
AUUUACUAUGUUUAAAAAUAAUGUUUCUAUUUACUAUGUACACAAAAAUUAUGUUACAAUAUAAUAUGUACACAGGAAAUAAUGUUACAAUUUACUGUGUUUAAAAAUAAUGUUUCUAUUUACUAUGUACACAAAAAUAAUGUUACAAUUUACUAUGUACACAUCAAAUAAUGUUAUAAUUUACUAUUUUUUAAAAUAAUGUUUCAAUUUACUAUGUACACAAAAAUUGUUACAAUAUACUAUGUUUAAAAAUAAUGUUUCUAUUUACUAUGUACACAAAAAGUAUGUUACAAUAUAAUAUGUACACAGGAAAUAAUGUUACAAUUUACUAUGUACACAGAUGUUUGUAUUUACUAUGUAUACAAAAAUGUUACAAUAUACUAUGUACACAUCAAAUGUUACAAUUUUCUAUGUUCACAAAUGUUUCUGUUUACUAUGUACAAAAAAUGUUACAAUAUAUUAUGUACACAUCAAAUAAUGUAACAAUUCACUAUAUUCAUAAUAAUUGUUCUAUUUGCUAUGUACACAAAGGUUUCUAUUCAUUAUAUACACAAAAAAACUUUACAAAAUACUAUGUACACAUCAAAUGUUACAAUUUACUAUUUUUAAAAUAAUAUUUCUAUGUACUAUGUACACAAAAAGUAUGUUACAUUAUACUAUGUACACAUCAAAUAAUGUUACAAUUUAGUACGUACACAACAAUAAUGUUACAAUUCAUCAUGUACUCAUCAAAUGUUACGAUUUACAAAGUACACAAGGAAUGUUUCUAUUUACUAUGUACACAAAAAUAAAGUUACAGUAUACUAUGUACAUGUCAAGUAAUGUUACAAUCUACUAUAUACACAGAAAAUGUUACUAUUUACACAAAAUAAUGUUACUAUUUACACAGUGCAUCGGAGAAGUAUUCACAACGCCUUUACAGCCUUAUUACAAAAUAGAUUUCAUAAAUUUUUCCCUCAAAAUUCUACAGACAAUACCCCUUAAUGACAAUGUGAAAAAGUCUUUAAACGUUUUUUGAAAAUGUUAAAAAAAAAAAAAAAAACUACUUAGUUCAACUAAGUACACAUCAAAGAAUGUUACAAUUGACUAUGUACGUGUUUAUGGAUCUUGUCGUUCAUGAGGUUAUUGUAUUCCCAGGGCCUUCAAUGGAUGGCAAGUGAAGUGCUGAGUUUGUGUUGACAUUGAUCACAUUUUAUCUGUGCACAGGCUGCUAGGACCAGACAAUGUAUCCUCUAACAAGAUGAGGGGUGCAUGCCCAGGGAAGAGAGAGUUUGCACGUUUUAUCAAAUAUAUUUUUAUACAUUUUCCAGAUAACCAAGUAAAGGUGAGUCAUGUUUACAGAAAGAUUGAAAAUAUAAUCCACACAAAGAUAAAGAAUAAAAGAAAACCCACAAAAAAAGUAACCUUCACAUUUCCUUUGAUUUAAGGUAGCGAUUAGCGCGUUAGUUGUCACCUAGUGAUGAGUGUACAUGUUUUGUAAAGUUUGCGGGUCCUUGGCCUGUAAAAAGUUGAAUACCCUUGAUGUCCAGCGAACAAAAUCUAUCAAUAAUUAAGAGUAGGAGGUGUAAAUGUGAAUAGUAGAAGACCAGGAACACAAAACAUGUAAUAAAACAAGAUCUAGCUUGUAGCUUGUCACAUUAUAUGUGUUGAUCAUUCCGCUGCUUGAUUGGCUAUUUGCUCCAGGAAGUGAGUCUCUGUGGGCUUCUGCUCGCUCAAAUCGGUGCUGAGUUUCCAAACGCUGACCACGCCGUCACUUCCUCCUACAGCCAGGAGGCCGCCAUUCUGCGCGUUGAAGGCCAAACACGUGGCGGCCUUGUUGACGCCUUCUGGACCGAUGGUGGCUGCUGGUCUUAGUGAUCUUCCACUCAGUGGCUGCAGCAAAGACCAAAGGUCGGCUUGGAGACCACUGCACUUUGAAGACGUAGCUGUCAGACACUCGUAGUGACAGCAGAGGGUUGUUUUGCAGCAGAGAAUGCAGGUGAGCAGUGUAUGGAGUGGACAGGUGUCUGUACCUGUGGACAGGUGAGCAGUGUAUGGAGUGGACAGGUGUGUGUACCUGUGAAAAGGUGAGCAGUGUAUGGAGUGGACAGGGCCACUGCCAGGUUUGAAAGAGAAGACCGCGGGAGCUCUCAGUGGAACACUUUGACUUUCAGGUGGAAGAGCAGCGGGUGUUUGUGAGGACAGAGAGCAUCUCAGCAGAAGACCACCCUCAGAACCAACAAUCAGAGUGUCUGGGUCCCAGGUGGACAGAUCCAUGGAGGUGACGCCCACUGUGACAGUUCCUUGGACCUGUACACACACACAAACCCAAAAACUGAAUCGAAGAAAUCUUCUCCUAAAAAGACACUUUGGAAAACACAACCUGAUCAUGAAAUUAUUGAAGAAUGAGAACUGUAAGUAAGUUCCAUAAGUAAACUCUUUAAGUGGCCAAGUAAGUGAAUAUGGUAGUAAAUAGGUAGGUAAUAAUAAGUAAGUAAACAUGUUAGUAAAUAGUUAAGAAAAUAUGUUAGUAAGUAGGUCAGUAAGUAAAUAUGUUAAUAAAUAAGUCAGUAAGUAAAUAUGUUAGUAAAUAGGUCAGUAAAUAAAUAUGUUUGUAAAUUGGUCAGUAAGUAAAUAUGUUAAUAAAUAAGUCAGUAAGUAAAUAUGUUAGUAAAUAGGUCAGUAAAUAAAUAUGUUUUAAAUUGGUCAGUAAGUAAAUAUGUUCGUAAACAGGUAGGUAAGAAAGUCAGUAAAUAUGUCAUUUAAUAGGUAAGUAAGUAAAUAUGGAAGUAAGUCAAUAUGUUAGUAAAUAGGUAAGUAAGUAAAUAUGUUUGUAAAUAGGUCAGUAAGUAAAUAUGUUAGUAAAUAAAUAUGUUUGUAAAUAGGUAAGUAAGUAAAUAUGUUUGUAAAUAGGUAAGUAAUUAAAUAUUUUCGUAAACAGGUAGGUAAGUAAGUCAGUAAAAAUGUUAUUUUAUAGGUAAGUAAGUCAAUAUGUUAGUAAAUAGGUAAGUAAAUAAAUAUGUUUGUAAAUAGGUAAGUAAGUAAAUAUGUUUGUAAAUAGGUCAAUAAUUAAAUAUGUUCAUAAACAGGUAGGUAAAAAGUCAGUAAAUAUGUUAUUAAAUAGGUAAGUCAAUAAAUAUGUUAGUAAAUAGGUAAAUAAGUCAAUAUGUUAGUAAAUAGGGAAGUAAGUAAAUAUGUUAAUAAAUAGGUCAGUAAGUAAAUAUAUUCUUGAAUAGGUAAGUAAGUAAAUGUGUUAGUAAAUAGGUCAGUAAGUAAAUGUGUUAGUAAGUAUGUUUGUAAAUAGGUCAAAUUUUUAAAUAAGUUCGUAAAGUAGGUAAGUAAGUCAGUAAAUAUGUAAUUUAAUAGGUAAGUAAGUAAAUAUGUUAGUAAAUAGGAAAGUAAGUCAGUAUGUUAGUAAAUAGGUAAGUAAGUCAAUAUGUUAAUAAAUAGGUAAGUAAGUAAAUAUGUCAGUAAGUAAAUGUGUUAGUAAGUAGGUAGGUAAGUCAGUAAAUAUGUUAUUUAAUAGGUAAGUAAGUAAAUAUGUUAGCAAAUAGGUAAGUAAGUCAAUAUGUUAGUAAAUAGGUAAGUAAGUAAAUAUGUUAAUAAAUUGGUCCGUAAGUAAAUAUGUUCUUAAAUAGGUAAUUAAGUAAAUGUGCUAGUAAAUAGGUAAGUAAGUAAAUAUAUUAGUAAAUAAGGAAGUAAGUAAAUAUGUUAGUAAAUAGAUUGGUAAGUAAAUAUGUUAGUAAAUAGGUCAGUAAGUAAAUGUGUUAGUAAAUAGGUAAGUAAGUAAGUAAAUAUGUUAGUAAAUAGGCCAGUAAGUAAAUGUGUUAAUAAAUAGGUAAGUAAGUAAAUAUGUUAGUAAAUAGGCCAGUAAGUAAAUGUGUUAGUAAAUAGGUAAGUAAGUAAAUAUGUUAGUAAAUUAGGAAGUAAGUAAAUAUGUUAGUAAAUAGAUUGGUAAGUAAAUAUGUUAGUAAAUAGGUAAGUAAGUAAAUGUGUUAGUAAAUAGGUAAGUAAGUAAAUAUGUUAGUAAAUAGGUCAGUAAGUAAAUGUGUUAGUAAAUAGGUAAGUAAGUAAGUAAAUAUGUUAGUAAAUAGGCCAGUAAGUAAAUGUGUUAGUAAAUAGGUCAGUAAGUACAUAUGUUAGUAAAUAAGUAAGUAAGUAAAUAUGUUAGUAAAUAGGUAAGUAAGUAAAUGUGUUAGUAAAUAGGUAAGUAAGUAAAUAUGUUAGUAAAUAGGUCAGUAAGUAAAUGUGUUAGUAAAUAGGUAAGUAAGUAAGUAAAUAUGUUAGUAAAUAGGUAAGUAAGUAAAUAUGUUAGUAAAUAGGCCAGUAAGUAAAUGUGUUAGUAAAUAGGUCAGUAAGUAAAUAUGUUAGUAAAUAAGUAAGUAAAUAUGUUAGUAAAUAGGUAAGUAAGUAAAUGUGUUAGUAAAUAGGUAAGUAAGUAAAUAUGUUAGUAAAUAGGCCAGUAAGUAAAUGUGUUAGUAAAUAGGUCAGUAAGUAAAUAUGUUAGUAAAUAAGUAAGUAAAUAUGUUAGUAAAUAGGUAAGUAAGUAAAAAUGUUAGUCAAUAGGUCAGUAAGUAAAUAUGUUCGUAAAAAGGUAGUAAGUUAGUCUGUAAAUAUGUUAGUAACUAGGUAAGUAAGUAAAUAGGAAAGUAAAUCAGUAAAAAUGUUAUUGGGUUAGAAAGUAAGUACAUUUGUUAGUAAAUGGGUAAGUUAGUAAAUAUGUUAGUAAAAGUAAAGUACGUGGGUGAGUAAAAAUGGAAAUACAGUGCAUAGAUAAAUUGAUAAAGUACAUAGGUAGAUAAAUAAGUCAUAUAACAUAUGAUGUAAGUACAUUUAUGAGUGUGUGGUUACUUUGAAGUUGGUGCCGCAGGAAGGAAUCUGUUGUUGGAUCAAAAUAAAAGCUGAUUUCACAUCAAA